RNAcentral lists this ribosomal RNA (448 nucleotides) under uncultured bacterium. Its description in RNAcentral is "bacterial SSU rRNA". It matches the Rfam family "Bacterial small subunit ribosomal RNA", at positions 355 to 796 of the family's 1533-position model. The record is from RNAcentral.
UCGAGAAUUUUUCACAAUGGGGGAAACCCUGAUGGAGCGACGCCGCGUGGGGGAUGAAUGGCUUCGGCCCGUAAACCCCUGUCAUUUGUGAACAAUAUGUUUUCAGAAACACUGGAAACGUUGAUAGUAGCAGAAGAGGAAGGGACGGCUAACUCUGUGCCAGCAGCCGCGGUAAUACAGAGGUCCCAAGCGUUGUUCGGAUUCACUGGGCGUAAAGGGUGCGUAGGCGGUCAGGUAAGUCUGAAGUGAAAGCUCCAUGCUCAACUUGGAAAAUGCUUCAUAUACUAUCUGACUAGAGAGCCGGAGAGGAGGCUGGAAUUCUCGGUGUAGCAGUGAAAUGCGUAGAUAUCGAGAGGAACACCAGUGGCGAAAGCGAGUCUCUGGACGGCAUCUGACGCUGAGGCACGAAAGCCAAGGUAGCAAACGGGAUUAGAUACCCCCGUAGUCC